CUCAGGGCUGGCUGGGACCGGGCAGCAGAGUCUGAAACACGUCCUUGGAUUGGAUGCUAGAACCAGCGUUGAAUGUAACUUUCUUUCCGAUUGGUUAGACAGGUGCUUGGAGGGGUUGUAUCGGACCUAAGAGUAGAGGUUGAUUCCACUCUCCCACCACGCACUUUUCGUAUCAUCCUAGAUCUGGAUGCCCUUCAUGGAACCUAAAAACCAGCGAGUCCCGGAAAGGCCUCAGGCAAUUGCCAAGCCGAUGGCCUUCUGCCACUUAGUUAAUGUGCACCUGGCAGCUUAGGUGGCCGCGGAGAAAGCAACUUUGGCUGCACCAAGGUCCGGCACAAGUCUGGAGAAGCUUCAGCCAGUUCCAAUGGCUGGAGUCAGCUGGCAAAUACAGAAGCAGGAAACAUUACACUGAAGCUCAGAAAAUAAUAUCCCCAAAUGAAGGCAUCAGAAAUAAAAGUUCUUCUCUGACCUUCUUUCUCUCAAGACAUUGUAUUAUGAAAAAUUUCCAGCAUACAGAAAAGUUGAAGAACACCCACAUGCCUGCUACUCAGAUUCUACAAUAAACAUUUGCUAUAUUUGUUUUACCUACAUAUCUAGUCAUCCAUCCAUCCAUUCAUAUUAUUUUUAAUGCACGUCUUAUUUUUUAAUGCACUGUCAACUACAGACAUCAGUACUCUUCACCUCCAAACAUUUCAGCAACAUAUCAUUAACGAUAGUCAAAAAUUUGUUUAGAGUUCCUUUUGUUUUAAAUAAAAUUUAUAAAGAAUGAAAUGUGUAAUUCUUAAGUGUACUAUUCUUUGAGUUUUCACAAAUGCAUAGACCUAUGUAACCUAAAGUCCUAUGAAGAUGUAGAAUAUCCCAUCCCCCUAGGAAGUUCCCUCAUGGCCCUUCCAAAUAAUCUCUGCUUACUCUGGUUUUCAAGUAACCACUGUUUUGCCU
Molecule: long non-coding RNA, 939 nt
Filed under: Homo sapiens (human)
Lineage: Eukaryota; Metazoa; Chordata; Mammalia; Primates; Hominidae
Description: HSALNT0106708
Source: RNAcentral